RNAcentral lists this transfer RNA (75 nucleotides) under Candidatus Atribacteria bacterium. RNAcentral's name for it is "tRNA-Gly". The record is from RNAcentral. Lineage: Bacteria; Pseudomonadati; Atribacterota; Atribacteria.
GCCCCCACCGUCUGGGGGACAGGACCCCGCCCUUCCACGGGGGGGACAGGGGUUCAAAACCCCUGGGGGGCACCA